UAACACACAGCAAGGAAGUAAGCAUUCAGUGCUUUUGGUUGGCAUGGAGCAGCACAUGCCAGAUAGCAGGCUCAGAUCAGCAACUGGCAGCUUCCUUAACUUUGUUAGUGUUAGCCUUCCAAACUGUAUCCACCAAGAUGUCCUGCUUUGUGGCCAGAGCCACCAUCUCUGGGGCAGAGGAUAAGUGUUCAGCCAAACCUUCCUGGAGCACUGGGCAGGAGAAUGAAUUCAGCAGUAUCUGAUGCCUGAAGUAUUGACUUCUGUGAAGGUAACUUCGGUGACUUUGCAAAUCUGUCCUGCAAGAGUCCAUAACCACCACUUGACCACUUGACUUCAGGUUAGAUAUCAGGGAAAGGUUCUUCAUGGAACAGGCUGCCCAGGGCAGCGGUCAUGGCACCAAACUGCUGGAGUUCAGGGAGCAUUUGGACAGUGCUCUCAGACAUAGGGUUUGAAUUUUGGGUGGCCCUGUGUGGAGCCAGGGGUUGGACUCAAUGACCCUUGUGGGCCCAUUCCAACUCAGGAUAUUCUAUGAUUCUAUAACCUACCUAAAAAUGUGCUAAUCUGUGAAAUGUCUUUGGGGCUCUAAAUGUAUUCAGAAUUAUUUAUUAUUAGACUAAAUAGUCCCCAGAGUAUCAAAAUAAAUGUAAAAUAUCAUAACUCCAUUUAUCAAGUUAGCUCAGCAAAUAUUUUCCUUCAAAACUUCUUCCAUGUGUCAAAAGUGAAUAGAGAUAUCCAUAUCUGUAAGAAACCAACAUUUCUAAGAACAUUUCUACAGUCUGUACAGUUUAUGCUUUAUUAUUUGUUCACUGUCACUUUGUGAUCUUUGGUUUAUUCCAUUAAAAGCUGUGCCCUUCUCGGAAGGAGCUACUGCUGUUUAGCCUUUGUUUUUUGAUGGGAUUUAUUCAGGUAGUCAGUGACCUUUCCUAUGUGCCCUAUUGAUUGUCUAGAAGGGCUCAGCCUGACAAGGUGAAAAUAGCUACAGUGUUUUAUUGUUUCUAGUACUUGUUUAUUUGCCUGGUUAUGCAAUGCACUUAUAGACUGGUUGGCUGAUUGAUUUAUUGCUGCUUUGUACAGCUGCAGGCAUCCUUCUGGGUGACCUGGCUGGAGAAGGAUUUUCAACAGCUAAGGGCUUGUGCCAGUGUCCAUGAUUAACAAAUUACAUGGAAGGCAUUUUAGUCAAAACCACUCUUGUAACCCAUGGCUGUCCAUUUGCCAUUGCAUGUAAAUGCUCGUGUAUGUUGAAAGCCUGCCAGCUGGCCAUGCAGUGGAUUACUGCUGAGACAAUGUAAAGGAAACAGGGAAAAUGUACUGGAAAAAGAUUGCAAAGGAGCAACUCUAGCUUCCAUCACCACUGUGUAACAACCUUUCAAAGAGCAAAGCGAGCAUGGGACAAAGCAAUGUUUUCCUCCAGCAUCAUUUGUUCCCCCAAGACUUCAGUUGGCAGAGACCUCAGCCAACUGGGCAGAGCAGGAAUCCAUGGCUAAAGCGUGAAUGUGAAGUGUAGCUGAAUGGGGAGACUUUUUGUUGCCCUGGCAAUCCAAGAAUGCACCAUUUCCAAUGAUCCAGAAAUACAACAUGAUUUUCAUCUCUCCAGCGACCUCUGGCCAGCUGUACCAUAUAAGCAACACAAAUCCUUUGACUAGAGGUGAGGUCUGGGCUUUCACAGGGCAACAGUCAAAUGUUACUGUACAGAGUGGUCUUCCACAACCUCUGGUAUUUAGGAGCAGAUAACAGCCACUGGAAGAGCAGAGGCCCCUGUAGAACAACAGAAAAGAAGGAAGGGAAUAGUUAGAUUUGGAAGGUGGAGAGUACUAAGCUUAGAGAUGAGUAUGCUGCUCUGUAAGCAGUAUGUAUUUUCCUAUACUUUUAGGGAAGAAGUUGUUAACUGAUUACUCAAGAAAGAGCAAACUUCCUUCUGCCUAGUGACUCAGUCAGCAUGAUGCUCUCUAAUGUAUUUACAUGCAACAAUCCAUUACUCUUAUCUUGCUCCAAUCCAUAAAUGCUAAUGAUGCAAAACUGUGGAUGGUGUUCCUGGUGGUAACUCGUUACUACUCUUGGCUGAAGCUAUGUAUGAGGGUAAUUAGUGUGGAGGGACAAACAUUGUCUGGGAGAUGACUGCUCCCUGAACUCAUUCUUAAAGGGAUUUAUAAUAUCAUCCCCUUAAUGGCUGAGACCAGGAGCCUUGAAACACCCAAGAGAUAAAUCUUUGCCUCUCAGUUCAUUAGGAUAAACUUUGGAAAAAAGUGUAACAACACAGAGGAAGAACUAUUUCCUACUAUAGGUGCUCAUUCUGUCACAGCAAGUCCAAUUCAUGGAGUCUAUAGAAGAAGCUGGUUUAAGAUCACAAUGGAAACAGGGAAAUCCUAGAAAGUACAAUCCAAGUAUAAGACUUCUGAACAACGGAGGAGAAGAAACCUAUUGGAAUGACUGUAUGGGUCACUGGGAAAGUUAUGAUUUCUUGAGCAGAAGGUCCGUAUUUAGGAAGAAACAUAAGAUGGAGCUGAGGGUGGGAUGCUAUUAAGCAAAGGUAGAGGCAAAUGGACAAUCUACAUUCAGAGACCUGGAAGUAGACCAGAAGUUUAAAUGGAGAAGAAGGAGCUUCUGUCUGAAGAGGUGAACACAAUGGAUGGCUCAGUCUCUGAGAACUGGGAAAGCAGUAUGAAAGAACGAACCAAAAAGGGAUGAGGAGGUAUUAGGUGGGAAUUACCUCCUUUAAUACUGGAACUACCUGGAUACAGAGCUUCAUUUUCACUCAGUUGCAGAAGAAACUCCACCUUCUCUACUGCUCAGUGGCCAAGGAAAGGCUGCACCCGGCGAGGGAAAAUGUUUGAGGGCUGUGCUUACUUCAUCCAUAUUGCAGGACCCCAAUGAGGUGCUGGUCAUAUACCUACUGGACAGUUUAUAAGAGGGGAAUCGAGGCUUGGCACUUACAUUUAACAGGUAAAUUUUGCUGUUAAUCAUAAAGCUGACCAGAGUAACAAUUUCCAUGUAAUCAAGCUGCAUAUCAGUGUAUCUAUGACCCUGUAUAACACAAUUCUCAUGUCUUCAUUACUGUAAAGUAUUCCUUCUAAUCUCUUUUCUUACUUUCUCUCCUCCCUCUCUCCCUACCUCUCUCACUUCCUUCCCUUCCUUUUCUCCUUCCUCCUUUUUUUUUCUUUCCUCCUUUCCUUCUCCCCUUCCUUCUUUCUUCUUCCCUUCCUGCCUGCAUUAAUUCCCUCAGCCCCUCCCUUCCUUCCUUUCCUCCUUUAUUUUUCUCUUUCUCCUUUCCUCCAUGCCUAUGGUGUGCUGAUGCUGAGACUGAGCAGUGUUGGUCUGUGGUGAGCUGAGUGGCUUUGUGAGUUUGGCUUCAUUUAGUGUGGUGCUACUGAAAUGACAUCCAAAGAGUGCUGAUAGACUCUCUCCUUUUCUGUUGCUUUCCUCAUUAGCAGCAGCUACAGUUGCCAACAGGCUGUAGUGAAGUCAGAAAGGGAACAGGCACAGUGCAGCUGAGAAUAUCUCAAUUUUUUUGGUUCACACUUGCAGAAACAUUGGUGCCAGAAGAAAGGACAGGCUCCUGCAAUUUCUUCAGGUUUGUCACUUCUGACAGGAAGGACUUGAAAACUUUGAGAAUGUAUAAAUCUUGGUUAAAACAAACAAACAAAAAAAGAAGAAAGGGACUACACUUUUACAAAGAGAUUUUGUGGCAUGACCUACUCCCCCUGCUCUCCUGCUGCUUUGUUAAUUAGUUUUGCUUCUACCCAGCACGGAUGAUAAUGAGAGCCUCUUUCUUUUGUUUGGUUUUCCUUUCUCCUUUUCUCUCUUUUUUUCAGUGGGACAGCAACACAUGGCACAAAGAGGAGGGAUAUGAGAGAGGAACAUGGCUGUCUUGGUGGGGAUGGCAAUGGCAUGCAGCGAGGGCAGCCUCUGAAGCUCUGUCUCCUCUGGCCCAGCCACCCAGCCCUGCAUGCCAUUUGUUCAUUACCCAGAAAUGUUUCAACAGCUUGUGCUGAAUUUAUUUACUGGCAGGUGUUCCAGGGAGGCGGACAUGGCAUUUAUCAGGUUCUAGUUAGAAAACUCUGUUCCUUUUGACAGUAAAUUGAAGAGCCACUACUCUAUUAGGAAAAAGGUAUUAUGUACAGAGCACAUAUUAAUAAUUGUAUCUCUGUCUACAGUGACUUAGUGUGAAAUACUCAAGCUUCCACCUCAAUUGUUAAUUCAUUAUGCUGUUUGGUUUUGAGCAUACCACAGGAUUAAAAGCAGCUUCAAGAGAUCUCCUAAUGCAAUGUAAGUGCAGCUAUUCACACUGAAGCCCAAGGUGAAAAAGAAUGCUCCUGAGCACAUCCAUCAGCCUUUGCACUGCCUGGCAUUGCUGUCCUUGUCUGAGUGAUGGCUACUCCUUUCCCAUGGUUUUCUCCCCAGCGUCACGGGUUGGAGGAUGUUCUGCUCCCAGGAGGGGUUUUGCCCUCCUACUGACAGAUGCUGCCAGUGCCUUUCUCUGACCCAAACCUACUUCCUAUCUGCUUUGUAUUCCAGUUCAUUCAUCAUUGCUAGAGUCUCUAAAUGUUGUCUGGCUGUCCAUCACAAGACAUUUGGGGCAUCUGUUACGAUAAGAUUCAUUUGAGUCAUCUGUAUACAUUAUUAUUCUUCCCUGAUUGCAGGCUAAAGUAACCCUGGUUGUAGGGUCUCUGUUCUUUUCAAACUGGCUUGCCUAUCUUGGCAUUUCUUGCUGCAUCUGCUUGCUUGCGUGCUUUGAAAGAUGCUGCCCCUCUUCAUACCUUCUGAUGGAUCCUGGAAAACAUCUAUUGAGAAUAUACAGUUGACCACUGCAGUGCUCUCAGGUUCUAAAAGUCUGUUCUGGUGCAUAGCUCAUCUCUUCAUCAAGGUAAAGGGUUAAAUGGAAAAAUCUUUCUCUUCUUUCGUAAGCCCUCACUUUAUUGCCACCAGAAUUUGGAUUCUUACAUGAACUGUGAUUUUUCAAUCUUAUGUUUUUUAGUGUUAAGCUAAACCAAUUCUACUUGCUUCCUGAACUGACCCUUGGGACACCACUGAGUGAGCCCUGUGCACAGUUCUUGAAAGUGUUUGUGCACCCUGCAAGUUACAUGUUCUUCAGGGUUGUUUCCCUUUCCUUCCUCAGAUUCAGCAGAAGUUUCCAAGAGAUUAAAUCACAGUACACUGGGGAGGGAAAAGGUGCAGGAAGACUCUAUUUCCAGCCCAGGUACUGUUACCAAGAUGACAAAAGUGGGUAAUUGCACUCCAAAGAUGUGACAAGGAUAUGAGCUGACCCUGGGCAGCCCAUGAGAGCCAUUUUAGUCAGGGACACCAAAUCUUGGCCACUGACUGGGUUGCCCAGUUGUUCCCUAGAAGUAACAGAGAGUAACACCAAAGUGCCUUGGAUCUGUCACCAAGUCCUCCUUGUUCCAGCUGCAGCAAGAAAGACGUGUUUGCCCAGCUUCUCCCAGGUCUGCCACAGUGAAAUGGCUCUGGGAGCCUCUGCUUAAACCACAUUCCCCAUUCCACUAUGUGGCAGGUUUGAUUCAUGUGCAUAAGCAGUGACAGCAAGGGAUGGACGAACCCAUAUAAUCUGUGAUUUGUAGGAAAAAGCUUUGGAUUUCCUUUUUUUUAAAGAGGGGUGGAACAGUCUGUUUGGGGCUAAAUCACUCCAGCACUGGUUUGACUUAGCUGACAACUGGCUCUUGCAAAUGUUGCCAAAUGUCAGCAAGCAGAAAUUAUUUUAUGGGGCAUUUAGAUUUAGUACAUGUUAGAAUUUGGAAGAGGCAUCUUGAUAUCCAGUGAUCCCAAAUAUUUCAAUAACUAUGUAUUUUGUUUUGGAUAUGGAGAGUGAGGUUCUCCUCUGCCUGCAGGGCAGAGUCAAUCCUGUGCCAUUUUUACCCAUUGAGGAGCAGCAGGAACAUCUUCGCUUCCAUCGCAUGGAGAGUGACUGCAUUUCACAUUUUAGAGAAGAGAUGCAGGCUGUGACAACAGAACUGAAAGAAGGAGCUGGGAAUAAAAGGCAAGCGCCUCUCAGGAGGAAAGGCAGAGAGAACAUGGAUAAAACUUCUGCUUGGCUGCACUGAUGUUCCUCUCUCCAGCAGUGCCCUCCCUAAUCACAGCACACCAUGCCUGCUCAUAUUGCCUUCCUCACUGGCAGUUCCAUUCAGGCCAUCUAAUUAGCCAGAAGAGGCAGCAGGGGUAAACGAAUAGCAACCAGCCUGCUCCAAAAGUCCCGGCUCUGUCACAAACCCACUGCUCAUUUCCUACUGGCUUCCUUUCCUCUCUUUGUGACCUUUGUUUCUGCGGUACUGCCUAGAGUUCAAUGGCAGGUGUAGCCAUUCAUAAUUCAUGUCUCUAAGAGACAUCACGAGGCACAGUUUCUCACAUGACACGGUCAUGCAGCCACACACACUAACAUUCAGGUCAUCGCCAUCCCUGACCACCAUCCUCACACACCAGAUCUUCACAGGGGCUUGGGAGGUCAUUUAGAGCAUCCUCCCACCUUAACCACAGUUGCCUUAAAUAUCUUAUACUGAGUACGUACAAGGUGUGACAAAGGGGAAAGCAAGUCUGGAUCAGACCCUAUGGAUGCUGCCCUACAAGUGGUAAAUGGUAAUAAGGAGAGUAUGGUCUAAAUACCAGAGUAAAAUACAUGCAAGUGAAUAUUUGGUUGCUGUUGCUGUUGUAGGUCAAAGCAGGGAUUUAGGUAUAUAAACCUGGGCACUCCUUGAGUAUCUUGCCUAUAAAAGCCAACAAUGAAUGCAGCACUUUCCCCUUUUCACCUGCUGCAACUUCAAUCUCUUAAAAACUAUAAAUAAAUAAAUGGUACACUGAAUACAAUACAGAAUUCAGCAGUUUUCCUUUUCAGUUGGCUAAGUGACCUCCUCUAUUAAAAACCUCUUGAAUUACAACUUUGAGAAGAAAUACUGCAGAUACCGUAGCGCAGAUAAGUGGCAUGUCAAUUGCAGUAGGUUAAAAUACUAUGUUAUUUUAGCAGGUGAAUUUCUAGAAGACAACUGUGGAAGCUGUCACAGCCUGAAUGAGAUCAUCACUGAAUUAUACCUGCUGAAAGACAGUAACAUAUCACCAGUACAGCCAUAAAGCUGUAUGCAACAUUUGUGCAUGUGAUACACUCUGACCUGAGCUCCAGUAAUGCACUGUGUGGGUCAGGCAGAGCAUGCCCUGUGUGUGACCAGGGUUUGGGCUUCGAAAGUUUUGCCUUGGCUGCUAUGGGCUUUGGAUGGCAGCCUUCAUCCUAAGGGCACUACCUAAGCUUGCAUUGAUAUUACUUAUUCUGAUACCUUUUGUUUUGUGCAGAGAAAUCUCCUGGCUGGUUCAUCUGGAGAUGAGAGCACGUCUUCCAGAUGAGAGUAUUGUCACACACACUCAGACUUCUCCCAUGAACAUGCAGCCCCCGCUGUCUCAAAAGAAAAAGCUGAAAACAACCCAAGUGCCAGAGCUGCUCCUUAAAAUAUUAAAUGCGCAAAUAUUUUACAAAUAGUAUCUUAGCUGUGAAUAAUAACCUGAUAGUGCCUGGGAGAUGCAGACAACUCACAUCCCCCCUUUCUAUAUGAACUGUUGUUCUGUGACUUCCAGAUGCCAAAUACAUUAUUAAACAAGUUUGAAAAAGAUGCUGGAGCUUUCCUUCCUGAGAGGGAGGGUGAUGCUUAUCACCAGAUGGAUUUGGCAUGUAAGUCACACUGCCACUAAGUAACUGAUCAACAUCUUUCACCAAUUUUAUCACAUUCAGAGCUUACUUCUCUAGCUGGGAAUAUGUUACACUAAUUCCUUCUCCUUUGAUGCCCCAAGGCUACUGGACCAUGUCACCAGUGAUACACCAUCUCCCUGGCAUUGGGAUGGUGACAAACGUGGACCCAAUCUGCUGGGCAGGCAGCAGAGCUGACACAGCAUUACGAGGAAGCAAGAAAGAGAAAAGAUUUCUUCAGCCAAAUUCAGAACAUCUCUGGUGUCUGCAAAAAAGACAUGGGUCACAGAAGCUGCUGAGCCGACCACUGCAGGACGUGCAAGGGGAGCUGAACAGAAGGCUUCAGAUUCUAUAUUCGUGUUUGCUCUGCACCGUGUUUGCUGUGAGCAUAUUGUCAUGUUCUGUAUGAUCCUCGAUGAUCUUUCAAGAAAUAGUGACCUUUAUCAUUGAAAAUAUGAAGGACUUCUAACUUCCUUGGGAUUGGAUGCACAAAAAUUCAAAUGGAUCAUGAGAAACCUAUGUGUGAAAUUAAUGCUAGCAUGUCAUUCAAAUUUUUAUUUUGGUUAGGUGAUUUAUUUAUUUAAGCUACAUGGUAUACAGAAAUCAUAACCAA
Long non-coding RNA from Numida meleagris (helmeted guineafowl), 8288 nucleotides. RefSeq lists it as uncharacterized. The transcript has 3 exons. The record is from RefSeq and is a predicted model, not a curated record. NCBI's taxonomy places the organism in Eukaryota, Metazoa, Chordata, Aves, Galliformes, Numididae.